Molecule: RNA transcript, 3427 nt
Organism: Lotus japonicus
Lineage: Eukaryota; Viridiplantae; Streptophyta; Magnoliopsida; Fabales; Fabaceae
Gene name: amidase 1
Exons: 11
Source: RefSeq, a predicted model, not a curated record
GGAGUUAUUAUUUCUCCUUCCUUCUGUCCCACUUCUCUUAACCGAACACAACUCGAAUAUUCUGACUGCGUAAUCUGCGUCCCAUUCAUACUUGGAUUGGCCAAUCAAAACGAAACGCAGCGUUUAACCACCAUUUUUCUAUCAUCAUCAUCAUCAUCAUCAUCAUCUGUGGGUUGUUGUUGGGAACGUAAGAGCAGAGCAGCUAUGGAAACAGCCUCAGGCUAUGGAGCAUUCAUGGAGAAAUUCAUGUUACCACCAACUUCUUCUCCUUCUUCACCAUCUCUUCCCCUCAAUUCACUCACUUUUGCAGUCAAAGACAUAUUUGAUGUGAAAGGGUAUGUAGCUGGUUUUGGGAAUCCUGAUUGGGCAAGGACUCAUCCAGUUGCUACCUCCACUGCUCCAACUGUUUUGGCUCUCCUCACUGCUGGUGCCACUUGUGUUGGUAAAACUGUCAUGGAUGAAAUGGCUUACAGUAUAAACGGCGAGAAUUUUCAUUAUGGUACGCCUAGAAAUCCUUGUGCAGCGGAUCGUGUUCCUGGAGGAUCUUCUAGUGGCUCUGCUGUUGCUGUUGGUGCAUUGCUUGCUGAUUUCGCAUUAGGAACUGAUACUGGAGGAAGUGUAAGAGUGCCUGCAUCAUAUUGUGGGAUUUAUGGUUUUCGUCCUUCUCAUGGUGUUGUCUCAACAUCAGGGGUUAUUCCAAUGGCACAGAGUUUUGAUACUGUGGGUUGGUUUGCUAGGAAUCCAACUAUUUUGAACAGAGUUGGGAAGGUACUUCUACAAUUGCCGGACGUAGCACCUACUAGACCUACCUACAUGAUCAUCGCAGAGGACUGUUUCCAGCUUUCAAGCACUCCAUAUGAUGUAGUUACACAAACUGUUAUUGAAGCAGUUACGAAGUUAUAUGGUGGUAAUGUAUUAAAGAAAGAAAUCCUUGGCGACUAUGUGAAGGCCAACGUUCCAAGUUUAAAGCAUUUCAUGGCCAAAGAGAAUACAGACCAAGUAUAUAACAUUCCAUCACUAGCUGCACUCUCAAGUGCCAUGCGGCAGCUUCAGAGGUAUGAAUUCAAGAAUAAUCAUAGCGAAUGGGUUAGUGCAGUGAAACCUAAUAUAGGUCCUGGAAUUUCAGACCGUGUCUCGGAAGCCCUAAGUUCAACCGCGGAAGACAUUGAUAUUUGUCAAUCUGUAAAAAAAGAGCUGCAUGAUGCUCUUAGUGCUCUUCUUGGGGACUUUGGUGUUCUCAUGAUCCCCACAGUUCCAGGUCCUCCACCAAAACUACAAACAAAUCCAUCUGAAUUAGAUAUUUUUCGUGCAAGGGCUUUCAGCCUGCUAUCCAUUGCUGGAGUAUCUGGAUUUUGCCAGGUAAGCAUACCGCUCGGGGUGUAUAACAAUCUUCCUGUAUCAGUUUCCCUGGUGGCCAGACAUGGUGCAGAUAGAUUUUUGCUUCACCUUGUUGAGAGUCUUUCUAAAAAUACUCAAGAACAGGAAGCAGCCUAGCCGACAGUAUAAGUUACUUUAAUGUGACUGCGAGUAUGUCAUUUCCUCCUUGCCAUUGCCAAGCUCUGCACUUGAGAGAUACGAGAUCAGUUGACCAAGAAAGGUGGGAAAAGCCAAUAUAACAGUGAUUUUCUUUUUCAACUUUUUGUGACCCACGAAUGUUAUAAGAUUAUCUGAAUUAGGUAAUUACUUGCCACAUAAUGUGCAGCUAGCGAUAUGUUAAGACAUGCAUGCAACUGUGAAGUCUUUGGUCUGUCUGUCACAACUCAUAAAGAGUUAAAGACUAUACUCAGUGGCGGAUCCAGGACCCUCCGGCCAGGGGGUCAAAUUUUUCACAUGAACACAUCGAUAAAAAUAUAAUUAAAAACAACUGUAAUAUGUUUAUACAUCAGAAAUUAUACAAAUCAUAGUUGUCCUCUACGCGAUUUCAUAUUCUGAAAUCGUUGAACAAUAAGCUUGAUCCACAUUGCUCACUUGAUGACCUUGCUCUCUUGAUUAAAAAUUUAUCCAUGACCUUCACAAGAUAGAGUAGACUUAAAUUAGAUUCAUACAUGAAGUUAUAUACAAAUCAUUCAUGACAAACUUGAGCAAUUUGAAAACAUUUUCAUUCAAAUUCCAAUCUCAAACCAAUUACUAAAUCAAACCAUUUAAAUCAAACCAAUUACUCUCAUGUAAAAUUGAAAAUAACUGGAAUGUUUUGUAAAAUUAAAAUCAAACCAAUUACCCUCAUGUAAAUCAAACCAAUUACUCUCAAUUCUCAAACCAAUUACUCCCAUUUUAAGCAAACUAGUGUAUCAGUGUAUGUAAAUUGUUUUUUUUUUGGAUAAGCAAAUUAGUAUUAGAAUAGAGUACUAGGGUACUCUAACCCAAAAAAGUACAAGAAAUAUUUACAAAAGAUAGACAAGGAAAACCAACACUAGUAGACAAAAACCAGUGUUGGUAUAGCACUCCAAACCCAGUGUCAUUUACAGAACAAAGCAACACUGAAGGAAGUUCCCUGAUACCUAUUCCACCUUAACUCAAAUGAGAAACUCAUUGUCAUUUAACUCAUAGACUAACAACAAGAGACUUAGCUUUCUUCUAGCUGUUUGCUGUCAAAAUGCAGCAAUAAAGAUCCCAAAACACAACCUGCAAUCUCACGCUUUCUCCAAUCAGACCAAGCACCAUGGGCCAUGAAUCACAAGGCAAAUAAAUUGUAAAAUACAAUAUCAUCUAAAUAUCUAAUCAUCCCAUGACCGAAAGCUCCUGGUCUCUGAAGCAUGGGUACGUGAUGUUGGGCCGCGUACCCGUACCGGGUACGUACCCGGUACGAAUACGCUACGGGUACGCGUACGGUACGUACCCGGUGCGUACCCGUUUCACAAAAAAAAAAAAAAAUCCAGGCCAAAACGACGUCGUUUUGGCCAUUAAAAAAAAAAAAGAAAACCCAAAACACGUGAAAACUGAAAACGCAGAAAAAGAAAUAGAACCUGAGAAGAGGUUCAAGGGUUCACGAACGGAACCAGAGAAGGAAACCAGCGCCGCCCGUCCUCUCCUCCGCCGUCCUCUCCAGCGUGCGCCGCCUCUCCACCGCCGGCCACCACCGCAGAAGCAUUUGAUUCUUACCAUUAGGGUGUAGGACUUGUCCAGAUAUGUAAGAAGAGCAUGCGUUGCAGGCAAGAAACACAUAGGAUGGAGCAACCUCAAUAGGCUGGCCAGCUCUCUUCAUCGGCACCUGCCCACCAAAUUGAGAAGUUUCUUCCUCCUUGAAAGAUGCUGGUAUUAAUGGAGUCCAGAUAGGUCCAGGCGCCACACCAUUAACCCUUAUUCCCUUACUCACCAGCUGAAGGGAGAGACCUCUUGUAAAUGCCACAAUUGCACCCUUGGUGGAUGUGUAGUCCAGUAGUUUUGCAUUUCCCUUGUAUGCAUUCACUGAUGUGGUGUUGAUAAUGCU